Molecule: ribosomal RNA, 200 nt
Filed under: uncultured bacterium
Lineage: Bacteria
Description: partial 16S ribosomal RNA
Rfam family: Bacterial small subunit ribosomal RNA
Source: RNAcentral
GACGUAGGAUGCAAGCGUUGUCCGGAUUUAUUGGGCGUAAAGAGUUCGUAGGCGGUUAGUUAAGUCUGGUGUUAAAUCCCGUGGCCCAACCACGGAGCUGCAUCAGAUACUGGCUGACUUGAGUGCGGUAGAGGCGAGUGGAAUUCCCAGUGUAGCGGUGAAAUGCGUAGAUAUUGGGAAGAACACCAGUGGCGUAAGCG